Long non-coding RNA from Mauremys reevesii (Reeves's turtle), 299 nucleotides. RefSeq lists it as uncharacterized. Lineage: Eukaryota; Metazoa; Chordata; Testudines; Geoemydidae. The transcript is spliced from 3 exons. The record is from RefSeq and is a predicted model, not a curated record.
UUUCUAGUCAAGAUACUUUUUGGAGGAAAGAAGUUCAAGGCAGAUUUCAGUAACUGGCAGCUAAUGGUAGAGAGUUACGAAUCAAAAUCCCAAGAUUUCUAAUUAAAAGCCACAGGUUCCAAGGCUGAAUCCUGGAGUAAUGGAAGGGCCCAAGCUCUCCACAGUGCCACCUAAUGAUACAAAAAAAUCUCUACAACCAAGAGGGCAGGAUGUGGACAAGAAGCUGGAGUCUUAGGAGUUUACUUUUAGGUGACACGUCCAAGGUUACACAGUAAGUGGCAACGCUGGCAACAGAAGCU